RNAcentral lists this transfer RNA (69 nucleotides) under Salpa fusiformis. RNAcentral describes it as "tRNA-Leu1". Lineage: Eukaryota; Metazoa; Chordata; Thaliacea; Salpida; Salpidae. The record is from RNAcentral.
GUUUAGAUAAGAUAAAUUAAAUCAUGCUUCUUUAGGAGAAGUAAAUCCUUAUAUUAAGAGGUCUAAACU